ACGCUCGACACCUACGGGGGCAGCAGUGGGGAAUAUUGCACAAUGGGGGAAACCCUGAUGCAGCGACGCCGCGUGAGCGAAGAAGUAUCUCGGUAUGUAAAGCUCUAUCAGCAGGGAAGAAGAUGACGGUACCUGACUAAGAAGCACCGGCUAAAUACGUGUCAGCAGCCGCGGUAAUCUGAGCGGGCUGGCAAGGC
This 197-nucleotide ribosomal RNA is filed under the name uncultured bacterium. Its description in RNAcentral is "partial 16S ribosomal RNA". It matches the Rfam family "Bacterial small subunit ribosomal RNA", at positions 328 to 539 of the family's 1533-position model. The record is from RNAcentral.